UGGGGAAUGUGUCAAAGAGACAACAACCCGACCAAAUAAAAAACAACAGCAGAGGGUCACCAACAGGUCUUCAAUGUAGCGAGAAAUUCCCGCACCCGGAGGCGUCCGUCAGCUGGCCCCUAAACAAAUAUAUACUAGUCCAGUGAUAAUGAACGCCAUACUAAUUUCCAAAUUGUACACAAGAAACUAAAAUUAAAAUAAUACAAGACUAACAAAGGCUAGAGGCUCCUGACUUGGGACAGGCGCAAAAAUGCUGCGGGGUUAAACAUGUUUGUGAGAUCUCAACCCUCCCCCUAUACCUCUAACCAAUGUAGAAAAGUAAACGCAUAACAAUACGCACAUUAAAAUUCAGUUCAAGAGAAGUCCGAGUCUGAUGUCAGAAGAUGUAACCAAAGAAAAUAAACAAAAUGACAAUAAUACAUAAAUAACAACAGACUACUAGCAGUUAACUGACAUGCCAGCUCCAGACUUCAAUUAAACUGACUGAAAGAUUAUGAUUUCAUCAUAUAAACAUCAGGCACAAUCCUUCCCGUUAGGGGUUUAGUAUCAUACCAUCAUAACCUAUAUGAGAAGAACAUAACCCGUGUCAUGCCAACAACUGUUUUUAGAAUAAAUGUGUUUAGUUCCGAUGCAAAGACCUUAUCAGUGACUCAAUAUUAACGCCAAAAUAUGCAAUCUUUAAUGACUUGACAACAGUAUCGUAAUUAUAUCCCUUCUUUAUA
RNAcentral lists this long non-coding RNA (722 nucleotides) under Mytilus galloprovincialis (Mediterranean mussel). The record is from RNAcentral. Lineage: Eukaryota; Metazoa; Mollusca; Bivalvia; Mytilida; Mytilidae.